UCCAGACUCCUACGGGAGGCAGCAGUAGGGAAUCUUUCACAAUGGGCGAAAGCCUGAUGGAGCAACGCCGCGUGCAGGAUGAAGGCCUUCGGGUUGUAAACUGCUUUUAUAAGCGAGAAAUAUGAUGGUAACUUAUGAAUAAGGAUCGGCUAACUACGUGCCAGCAGCCGCGGUAAUACGUAUGGUGCAAGCGUUAUCCGGAUUUACUGGGCGUAAAGGGAGCGCAGGCGGCGCGCCAAGUCUGAUGUGAAACCCCGGGGCUCAACCCCGGGCAUGCAUUGGAAACUGGCGGGCUGGAGUGCCGGAGAGGUAAGCGGAAUUCCUAGUGUAGCGGUGAAAUGCGUAGAUAUUAGGAGGAACACCAGUGGCGAAGGCGGCUUACUGGACGGCAACUGACGCUGAGGCUCGAAAGCGUGGGGAGCAAACAGGAUUAGAUACCCGAGUAC
This 446-nucleotide ribosomal RNA is filed under the name uncultured bacterium. Its description in RNAcentral is "bacterial SSU rRNA". It matches the Rfam family "Bacterial small subunit ribosomal RNA", at positions 330 to 793 of the family's 1533-position model. The record is from RNAcentral.